CCUACGGGAGGCAGCAGUGGGGAAUAUUGCACAAUGGGCGAAAGCCUGAUGCAGCGACGCCGCGUGAGGGAUGACGGCCUUCGGGUUGUAAACCUCUUUCAGCAGGGAAGAAGCGAAAGUGACGGUACCUGCAGAAGAAGCGCCGGCUAACUACGUGCCGGCAGCCGCGGUAAUACGUAGGGCGCAAGCGUUGUCCGGAAUUAUUGGGCGUAAAGAGCUCGUAGGCGGCUUGUCACGUCGGAUGUGAAAGCCCGGGGCUUAACCCCGGGUCUGCAUUCGAUACGGGCUAGCUAGAGUGUGGUAGGGGAGAUCGGAAUUCCUGGUGUAGCGGUGAAAUGCGCAGAUAUCAGGAGGAACACCGGUGGCGAAGGCGGAUCUCUGGGCCAUUACUGACGCUGAGGAGCGAAAGCGUGGGGAGCGAACAGGAUUAGAUACCCUGGUAGUCCACGCCGUAAACGUUGGGAACUAGGUGUUGGCGACAUUCCACGUCGUCGGUGCGCAGCUACGCAUUACGUUACCCGUCCGUCGGGUAGGUACGACCGCCGACGGACGUAAACCGUACAAACGGAAGUUAGACGGCGUGAGACGUGCCGAACGGACGACCGACCGAGGGAGGUAGG
This 620-nucleotide ribosomal RNA is filed under the name uncultured bacterium. Its description in RNAcentral is "bacterial SSU rRNA". The stretch from base 1 to 523 matches the Rfam family "Bacterial small subunit ribosomal RNA", at positions 338 to 873 of the family's 1533-position model. The record is from RNAcentral.